UGCUGUGGCUACGUUCAUGUAUUUAGUUACCUAUGUGAUGAGCUACAGCAACUACUCAGAAUCAGCAGAAAGAUAGCUCUGCAAUUUGGCAUCCUCAGCAAGAAUAUGCAGGAAUGCUCAGGGCCUGUGGUGAACUAACUCUGCCUAGAGUGUGCCCCUGGUGAUAUUUGUUUGCAAGUCAUUGACAGAAGUGAAGUUUCCACCAAGAUUCAGCUGAGACCUUGCCGCUGCAGGCUAAGAUCCUCAACUCUCUAGUGUGGACGUCACAUCUGGAAUCUUGUGUCUUCUGAUUGAGGCCCCCUGGCACACAGUGAGGAGGUGGAAUUAGGUGCCCUGGCAUCCUUCCAUUAUCUGAUCAGACUUGUAUCGUUCCUUGGUGAAACUGUUGUCUAGUCUUCCAGCUGUUCCUUUUACGGUCUGUCUGCUUACCAAGUUGUCAAUUAGAGAAAAAGUCUACAAGAAGAUACCAGGCAGAGGCUCUAUAAUUCUAUCCUUGUGCUGGCCCUGGGGGCUGGGAAGUUCAGGUCUCCUCAGACCACUCUCUUUGAACCAACUCUUUGUCUUGAGUCUCCAUUACAAAUUAUGCAAAGACAUCCUCCUUAGUUUUGUCUUUGUGUUAGUACUUUAAUUUUAUCUGCUUGGAAUCAGGAGGUUUGUCCACCCCAUGUUUGGUGACCAUUAACCUUUGGCCAAUUUAUAAAGACAUGAGUUACACA
RNAcentral lists this long non-coding RNA (716 nucleotides) under Homo sapiens (human). Its description in RNAcentral is "HSALNT0019348". The record is from RNAcentral. Lineage: Eukaryota; Metazoa; Chordata; Mammalia; Primates; Hominidae.